GGAACGUUGAAGACGACGACGUUGAUAGGCCGGAUGUGUAAGCGCAGCGAUGCGUUGAGCUAACCGGUACUAAUGAACCGUGAGGCUUAACCUUACAACGCCGAAGGUGUUU
This 112-nucleotide ribosomal RNA is filed under the name Escherichia coli. RNAcentral's name for it is "partial 23S ribosomal RNA". The stretch from base 1 to 94 matches the Rfam family "Bacterial large subunit ribosomal RNA", at positions 2832 to 2925 of the family's 2925-position model. The record is from RNAcentral. Lineage: Bacteria; Pseudomonadati; Pseudomonadota; Gammaproteobacteria; Enterobacterales; Enterobacteriaceae.